This 253-nucleotide ribosomal RNA is filed under the name uncultured bacterium. RNAcentral's name for it is "partial 16S ribosomal RNA". It matches the Rfam family "Bacterial small subunit ribosomal RNA", at positions 524 to 776 of the family's 1533-position model. The record is from RNAcentral.
UACGUAGGGUGCAAGCGUUGUUCGGAAUUACUGGGCGUAAAGCGCGCGUAGGCGGGUUCGUAAGUCGAUUGUGAAAGCCCUGGGCUUAACCCGGGAAUUGCAGUCGAUACUGCGAAUCUUGAAUGCCUGAGAGGAUGGCGGAAUUCCCGGUGUAGAAGUGAAAUUCGUAGAUAUCGGGAAGAACACCUGAGGCGAAGGCGGCUAUCUGGCGGUGCAUUGACGCUGAUGCGCGAAAGCGUGGGGAGCAAACAGG